Molecule: long non-coding RNA, 1425 nt
Organism: Anneissia japonica
Lineage: Eukaryota; Metazoa; Echinodermata; Crinoidea; Comatulida; Comatulidae
Exons: 3
Source: RefSeq, a predicted model, not a curated record
CUCAACCGGUCAUAUCCCGGCUUUCUAGCCUGUUUUUAGGCCUAGGGUCUAGGCCUAGUAAUAUUAUUAUAUCAUCAGCCUAGCUUUAAAAUGGUGAUUAUUUAUUAUAAAUAAAGACAAUACGGCGCGUACUAAUACUCACCAGAUUGAUGUUUAAAUUUUUGCAAAUCAAAUUUGAAAGGAAAGCUUGGAUAAUUUCUUUGACAAAUUCGCUACUGCAAUCAACUAAAGAGAAAGGCUUUCUUGACAUUUGACCUCUAUAGAAGUAUUCUGAAUCCCCAUCGUCCGCCAGAAAAAUAAUAUUUUAUUUUUUUCUGAAUUAUUUAAUAAAUUGCCUAAAAUUACACUAUAAUUCAAUUUUUAGGUCCUAUUAUUUCACAAAUUAGUAAAUAAUAUAUUUUAAUUGUGUUAUAAUAUGUUGUAUUAAUUACAUAUUCAUUAGUUAUCAUCAAUAAAAUAAAAAUUAUAGUACGAGACCCUAGAGAAAAGAGGGUAAUAACGGUUAUGGUAUUUAGGUGACCGAAGUUACCCCACUUUACGGUAUGUUUAAUUAAUUGGGCAGUUUGACGCCUACAGUGUCUUGUCCAGAGGGAGACGAAAUAUUAUUAUUUUUACAGUUAAUUAAAUAAUAAAUUAACCUAGGCCUAAGCCUUGGCCUGUAACUCUAGUUAUAUUUAUUAGGCCAUAAACUGCUAUAAUUUUAUAACUUAAAAAUGUAUGGCUCGCAUGGCUCGCUGGCUCGCAUGGCUCGCUCAUUGGCUCGCAUGACUCGCUGGCUCGCACUUUGUCACGACCCUCGUUUUUCUACAGGUUAAAAGCUCGCAGGUUAAAGCUUAAAAGGUCAGAGCUCGAAAUUUACACUAUAAGUUGGUGUAAAUUUACCUACCUAAACCGUUAAGUAUUGUACAGUAUUAAGAAAGAAAAGGAAUUGCUAUGUAAAUAUACGAUGAAUUCGUAAAUUUUGGAAUUCCUUGACAAUUAUAUAUUUUUAAACAUUGUUAUUAAUAACGUUCCCUAACGUAAAAUUAAAGUGAAAACCAUUUAUUAAUAACGUUCCCUAACGUAAAAUUAAAGUGAAAACCAUUUAUUUGGCGCGCUUACGAUCACGUGACAUCUCAGUUUAUGACGCAUUAUGACACACGCAUGCGUAGUGCGUCGACGUUGAGGCGCGGACAGGCGCACGCAGUGGUAUGGAAGAGGAGAGCACAUGUAAAGUUCGUUUACGUCGGUUCUUUAUCUUGGAAAACAAAAGGAUCAGUGAGUUCAAAAAACGUUUGGGAAAACUGGAUGAGCUUGGUGUGGUCCAUGAAGCGGAUCUUGCACUAGUUAUGGAAGGAUGACAUUCUAAAGGCCAUUUUUGUGCACAAGUGUAGUACACAUUUUAUAAAAGCAACAUGUGAACAAAAAACACUCCAGAGAUAUUAU